RNAcentral lists this ribosomal RNA (264 nucleotides) under Salmonella enterica subsp. enterica serovar Blockley. Its description in RNAcentral is "partial 23S ribosomal RNA". It matches the Rfam family "Bacterial large subunit ribosomal RNA", at positions 350 to 614 of the family's 2925-position model. The record is from RNAcentral. Lineage: Bacteria; Pseudomonadati; Pseudomonadota; Gammaproteobacteria; Enterobacterales; Enterobacteriaceae.
GCGCGCGAUACAGGGUGACAGCCCCGUACACAAAAGCGCAUGUGCUGUGAGCUCGAUGAGUAGGGCGGGACACGUGGUAUCCUGUCUGAAUAUGGGGGGACCAUCCUCCAAGGCUAAAUACUCCUGACUGACCGAUAGUGAACCAGUACCGUGAGGGAAAGGCGAAAAGAACCCCGGCGAGGGGAGUGAAAAAGAACCUGAAACCGUGUACGUACAAGCAGUGGGAGCACAGGUUUACCUGUGUGACUGCGUACCUUUUGUAUA